Molecule: ribosomal RNA, 330 nt
Filed under: uncultured eukaryote
Lineage: Eukaryota
Description: partial 18S ribosomal RNA
Rfam family: Eukaryotic small subunit ribosomal RNA
Source: RNAcentral
CCCUUAGAUGUUCUGGGCCGCACGCGCGCUACACUGAUGCAUUCAACGAGUCUAAAACCUGGUCUGAUAGGGCUGGGUAAUCUUUUGAAUGUGCAUCGUGAUUGGGAUAGAUGAUUGCAAUUCUUCAUCUUCAACGAGGAAUGCCUAGUAAACGCAAGUCAUCAGCUUGCAUUGAUUACGUCCCUGCCCUUUGCACACACCGCCCGUCGCUCCUACCGAUUGAAUGUUCCGAUGAAUACCAUGGACUGAGAGUAUGAAUGGGUUCGCCUAUUUCUGCUUCUCGGGAAGUGGAGUAAAUCUUAACAUUUAGAGGAAGGAGAAGUCGUAACA